This 497-nucleotide ribosomal RNA is filed under the name uncultured bacterium. RNAcentral's name for it is "partial 16S ribosomal RNA". It matches the Rfam family "Bacterial small subunit ribosomal RNA", at positions 28 to 507 of the family's 1533-position model. The record is from RNAcentral.
GAUGAACGCUGGCGGCGUGCCUAAUACAUGCAAGUCGAGCGAACGGACGAGAAGCUUGCUUCUCUGAUGUUAGCGGCGGACGGGUGAGUAACACGUGGAUAACCUACCUAUAAGACUGGGAUAACUUCGGGAAACCGGAGCUAAUACCGGAUAAUAUUUUGAACCGCAUGGUUCAAAAGUGAAAGACGGUCUUGCUGUCACUUAUAGAUGGAUCCGCGCUGCAUUAGCUAGUUGGUAAGGCAACGGCUUACCAAGGCAACGAUGCAUAGCCGACCUGAGAGGGUGAUCGGCCACACUGGAACUGAGACACGGUCCAGACUCCUACGGGAGGCAGCAGUAGGGAAUCUUCCGCAAUGGGCGAAAGCCUGACGGAGCAACGCCGCGUGAGUGAUGAAGGUCUUCGGAUCGUAAAACUCUGUUAUUAGGGAAGAACAUAUGUGUAAGUAACUGUGCACAUCUUGACGGUACCUAAUCAGAAAGCCACGGCUAACUACGUG